GCUCAGUAACACGUGGAUAACCUACCCUGUGGARGGGGAUAACCCCGGAAAACUGGGGAUAAUACCCCAUAGAUUAGGGAUGCUGGAAUGCCCCCUAGUUCAAAGGUCCGCCGCCACAGGAUGGGUCUGCGGCCGAUUAGGUUGUUGUUGGGGUAACGGCCCAACAAGCCUUUGAUCGGUACGGGUUGUGGGAGCAAGAGCCCGGAGAUGGAUUCUGAGACACGAAUCCAGGCCCUACGGGGCGCAGCAGGCGCGAAAACUUUACAAUGCGAGAAAUCGUGAUAAGGGAACCCCGAGUGCCCGUAAAUUCGGGCUGUCCGCCAGUGUAAAUAACUGGUGAAGAAAGGGCCGGGCAAGACCGGUGCCAGCCGCCGCGGUAAUACCGGCGGCUCGAGUGGUGGCCGCUAUUACUGGGCUUAAAGCGUCCGUAGCUGGGUUGUUAAGUCUCCUGGGAAAUCCAUCGGCUCAACCGAUGGGCGUUCAGGAGAUACUGGCGACCUAGGGACCGGGAGAGGUGAGAGGUACUCCAGGGGUAGGAGUGAAAUCCUGUAAUCCUUGGGGGACCACCUGUGGCGAAGGCGUCUCACCAGAACGGCUCCGACAGUGAGGGACGAAAGCUGGGGGAGCAAACCGGAUUAGAUACCCGGGUAGUCCCAGCUGUAAACGAUGCGCGUUAGGUGUAUCGGUGACCACGAGUCACCGAGGUGCCGAAGAGAAAUCGUGAAACGUGCCGCCUGGGAAGUACGGUCGCAAGGCUGAAACUUAAAAGGAAUUGGCGGGGAGCACCACAACGGGUGGAGCCUGCGGUUUAAUUGRAUUCAACGCCGGGAAGCUUACCGGGAUCGACAAGCAAUAUGAAGGCCAGGCUGAAGACUUUGCUGGAUUAGCUGAAAGGUGUGCAUUGACCGUCGUCAGUUCGUUAUGUGAAGCAUCCUGUUAAGUUAGGCAACAAGCAAGACCC
Molecule: ribosomal RNA, 961 nt
Filed under: uncultured archaeon
Lineage: Archaea
Description: bacterial SSU rRNA
Rfam family: Archaeal small subunit ribosomal RNA
Source: RNAcentral